AAUGGGCAGAAUACAAAAUCAAAGAAACUAAUAUGUUUACUGUAGACAAAUAUCAACAGCUCCAUAGUUUGCUGCCUUGAGAAGCAUGAUGGUUAUCCAUCAGGGUCAAUGGUUGACUUUGCAAGCGACAUAGAUGGGUCCCUGAUUUUAGCUGUUAGUAGCUUGGCGUUUCAUUC
Humulus lupulus (European hop) is the source of this 176-nucleotide long non-coding RNA. RefSeq lists it as uncharacterized. The record is from RefSeq and is a predicted model, not a curated record. NCBI's taxonomy places the organism in Eukaryota, Viridiplantae, Streptophyta, Magnoliopsida, Rosales, Cannabaceae. The transcript has 3 exons.